RNAcentral lists this ribosomal RNA (468 nucleotides) under uncultured bacterium. RNAcentral describes it as "partial 16S ribosomal RNA". It matches the Rfam family "Bacterial small subunit ribosomal RNA", at positions 28 to 507 of the family's 1533-position model. The record is from RNAcentral.
GACGAACGCUGGCGGCGUGCUUAACACAUGCAAGUCGAACGGUGAAGCUCCAGCUUGCUGGAGUGGAUCAGUGGCGAACGGGUGAGUAACACGUGAGCAACCUGCCCCUGACUCUGGAAUAAGCGCUGGAAACGGCGUCUAAUACUGGAUACGAGAAGGGUCCGCAUGGGCACUUUCUGGAAAGUUUUUCGGUUGGGGAUGGGCUCGCGGCCUAUCAGCUUGUUGGUGAGGUAAUGGCUCACCAAGGCGACGACGGGUAGCCGGCCUGAGAGGGCGACCGGCCACACUGGGACUGAGACACUGCCCAGACUCCUACGGGAGGCAGCAGUGGGGAAUAUUGCACAAUGGGCGAAAGCCUGAUGCAGCGACGCCGCGUGAGGGAUGACGGCCUUCGGGUUGUAAACCUCUUUCAGCAGGGAAGAAGCGAAAGUGACGGUACCUGCAGAAGAAGCACCGGCUAACUACGUG